GACUUGGUGGCUGACAUCGGAAGCGAAACGUCCAAAUCUUAGUUAUAUAUCGCGAAUAGUUUCCACGAGGCAUGACAACAGUUCACGGCAUGGCGGGGUGUGCCUUGGUGUUUGAAACAAGGAGUAACCAACACUAAAUAAGCAACGGAGCUUGUUUUGUCCUUUAUUCUGGCCUUUUUUAUUUUAGAGAGGAGGCGGGGAGGGGGAAACAGGCGACCAACUCGCGAUGCUAAAUACUUUGAAAAAUAAAUUGAUAUUAUGCCACGCGCC
This 270-nucleotide small RNA is filed under the name Histoplasma capsulatum var. duboisii H88. RNAcentral describes it as "Histoplasma capsulatum H88 hypothetical RNA". The record is from RNAcentral. Lineage: Eukaryota; Fungi; Ascomycota; Eurotiomycetes; Onygenales; Ajellomycetaceae.